CACGCCGUAAACGAUGGAUACUAGCUGUUGGGGGCAACUUCAGUGGCUAAGCGAAAGUGAUAAGUAUCCCACCUGGGGAGUACGUUCGCAAGAAUGAAACUCAAAGGAAUUGACGGGGGCCCGCACAAGCGGUGGAGCAUGUGGUUUAAUUCGAUGAUACGCGAGGAACCUUACCAAGGCUUAAAUGUAGACUGACCGGGUUGGAAACAGACUUUUCGCAAGACAGUUUACAAGGUGC
Molecule: ribosomal RNA, 238 nt
Filed under: uncultured bacterium
Lineage: Bacteria
Description: partial 16S ribosomal RNA
Rfam family: Bacterial small subunit ribosomal RNA
Source: RNAcentral